RNAcentral lists this ribosomal RNA (499 nucleotides) under uncultured bacterium. Its description in RNAcentral is "bacterial SSU rRNA". It matches the Rfam family "Bacterial small subunit ribosomal RNA", at positions 29 to 520 of the family's 1533-position model. The record is from RNAcentral.
AUUGAACGCUGGCGGUAGGCCUAACACAUGCAAGUCGAGCGCGAAAGUGCCUUCGGGUGCGAGUAGAGCGGCGGACGGGUGCGUAACGCGUAGGAAUCUGCCUGGUAGUGGGGGAUAACUCGGGGAAACUCGAGCUAAUACCGCAUACGCCCCAUGGGGGAAAGCGGGGGACCUUCGGGCCUCGCGCUAUCAGAUGAGCCUGCGUCGGAUUAGCUAGUUGGUAGGGUAAUGGCCUACCAAGGCGACGAUCCGUAGCUGGUCUGAGAGGAUGAUCAGCCACACUGGGACUGAGACACGGCCCAGACUCCUACGGGAGGCAGCAGUGGGGAAUAUUGGACAAUGGGGGGCAACCCUGAUCCAGCCAUACCGCGUGUGUGAAGAAGGCCUUAGGGUUGUAAAGCACUUUCAGUGGGGAGGGAAAAGUUAGCCGGCGAAUACCGGCGACCGUGACGCUACCUGCAGAAGAAGCACCGGCAAACUACCGUGCCAGCAGCCGCGG